GUUAUUCACAAGUGGCUCCAGUCUGGUUUGGGGGUCUACGCUUUCUCAUUCUGUCCUGCCAUUCAAGUAAAGUUAUUCACAAGUGGCUCCAGUCUGGUUUGGGGGUCUACGCUUUCUCAUCCUGUCCUGCCAUUCAAGUAAAGUGCUGUGAGGAAAAACACAGAAACAUGGUCAGUCAACGACGCGGUGGUCACUAAGCACGCAAUCAGGUGGUUCAACGAGGAGACCUGUCCUGCCUCCAUCCACACCAAACGGAUUAAUAGGAGAAAUAAACAUUAAACAAUCUUUUUUAUUGAA
Sardina pilchardus (European sardine) is the source of this 297-nucleotide long non-coding RNA. RefSeq lists it as uncharacterized. The record is from RefSeq and is a predicted model, not a curated record. NCBI's taxonomy places the organism in Eukaryota, Metazoa, Chordata, Actinopteri, Clupeiformes, Clupeidae. The transcript has 3 exons.